RNAcentral lists this ribosomal RNA (775 nucleotides) under uncultured archaeon. Its description in RNAcentral is "bacterial SSU rRNA". It matches the Rfam family "Archaeal small subunit ribosomal RNA", at positions 1 to 757 of the family's 1478-position model. The record is from RNAcentral.
UUCCGGUUGAUCCCGCCGGACCCCACUGCUAUCGAGAUGGGACUAAGGUAUGCUAGUCGAACGACCAGAACUAUGUCUGGGAGUGGCACACUGCUCAGUAACACGUAGCUAACCUACCCUUAGGACGUGGAUACCCCCGAGAAAUUGGGGUUAAUCCGCGAUAGAUGUAAUGUCCUGGAAUGGUAUUACGUCUAAAGGUAUUUCAUACAUGUUUGAAAUAUGCCUAAGGAUGGGGCUGCGGCCGAUCAGGCUGUUGGUGAGGUAAUGGCUCACCAAACCUUUGACCGGUACGGGCCAUGAGAGUGGUAGCCCGGAGAUGGACACUGAGACAAGGGUCCAGGCCCUAAGGGGCGCAGCAACCGCGAAACCUCCACAAUGCACUCACGUGCGAUGGGGCUAUCUCGAGUGCCACCUGAUGAAGGUGGCUUUUCCUAGGUCUUCAAAGCCUUGGGAAUAAGAGGGGGGCAAGACUGGUGUCAGCCGCCGCGGUAACACCAGCCCCUCGAGUGGUGGGGAUGAUUAUUUGGCCUAAAGCGUCCGUAGCCGGCCGAGCAAGUCUUCCGUUAAAUCCAGCGUCUCAAGCGUUGGACUGCGGGAGAUACUGCAGGGCUAGAGAGUGGGAGAGGUCAGCGGUAUUCUGGGGGUAGGGGCGAAAUCCUUUGAUCCCCGGAGGACCACCAGUGGCGAAGGCUGCUGACUAGAACACGUCUGACGGUCAGGGACGAAAGCUGGGGUAGCGAACCGGAUUAGAUACCCGGGUAGUCCCAGCCGUAAA